Molecule: long non-coding RNA, 1184 nt
Organism: Meriones unguiculatus (Mongolian gerbil)
Lineage: Eukaryota; Metazoa; Chordata; Mammalia; Rodentia; Muridae
Exons: 4
Source: RefSeq, a predicted model, not a curated record
AGACACUCAAGGAGCAUGCAGAAUGGAUUGCUCAGGAGUGUGGCCCCUGCCUUGGAUUGCCUUCACUUUGCGUGUCUGAAAGAGUGAGGACAAGAGCUGUUGGAAGGAGAAACGAGUCGCCUUUGCUCUUUCACCAGGCUCCCAGCCUGGGUCCCCUGCCCUCACCCACAGGCUGGACUCUAAGGAGGAGGACCAACAGAAAGAGAAACUGAGACAAACAGCAGCAUCAGCAGGCAGCACUCAGCUGUGUUUGCAAUCACAGAAGUAGCUGUGACUUCACUCAACAGUUUGGAAUGGAGUAGAAGAAGUCUUAUUUGCCACGGGAAGGAAAGCUUCUGAGCUUUAGCCAUUCCAUCAGACUUUGCAUCUGCGCGUGAAGGCGUAGCAAGAGAUCUGAUUCUGCUGCGCUGUGACACACUGAGUUCAUUAGCAUCCUUCCCUCUUCCUCCGAGGACAGCCAAAAACUCCAUCCCCCACACGGGACGCAUAAGGACUGGGAAUCUGUUUGCCAAUGGACCACUGGAUGCCAUGAAGAGAGCUCAUCCUUUAUUCUGCUUCGAUCUCUGGCCUGUCUGAUGAUUCUGUCAACAAGGGGUGACACCAUGCCAAGCAGUGUUGUGAUUUUUAUGACCUGGACAUCUGUCUAGUGUGUACUAGACUAGGACCACACGUUCUGUCAAAGAUGCUGUGGAAAAGCUGCCAGAAGGUAAUGAAUUUUAGCCACUGCUGACUUCAGCUGGAUACAAACAAAUGACCUACAGGGACCAGAUUCCGCAUCUCAUGUCUAAUCCUUUCAGACUAACCUCUCCUUCCAAGAUAUGAUGACAAAUGCACCAUUCAUGUAGAAACAAACUUGAAGCCAUGGUAAAAUAAAUUGGAAAACAAAAACCAUUUUGAGCAGAUACUGAACCAAAAAUUAUAAAUAAAACAAAACAUGGUUUUGUUUUCGAAAACCUUUAUGUUUUCCUACAUCUGAAAGGGUUAGAAGCAGAAAUAAUAAAAGAUUUCUGUAUUUCCUUUCCUGAUUUGUAAAUCCCAAAAUAGAAAUAGCUAUUAUAAUUACUACCUCACUCACACCACUCCCAGGACAGUGCAACUAAAAAACGACACAUUAAGAAAAAAGUAUAGCCAGUGCUCUUAAGUCCUGAUGGGACUCGGUAAGCUAGGAUCAGAUGGCAGGAGAG